RNAcentral lists this transfer RNA (35 nucleotides) under Momordica peteri. RNAcentral's name for it is "partial tRNA-His". The record is from RNAcentral. Lineage: Eukaryota; Viridiplantae; Streptophyta; Magnoliopsida; Cucurbitales; Cucurbitaceae.
GGCGGAUGUAGCCAAGUGGAUCAGGGCAGUGGAUU